Molecule: ribosomal RNA, 449 nt
Filed under: uncultured bacterium
Lineage: Bacteria
Description: partial 16S ribosomal RNA
Rfam family: Bacterial small subunit ribosomal RNA
Source: RNAcentral
AGCGAACGCUGGCGGCAGGCCUAACACAUGCAAGUCGAACGAACUCUUCGGAGUUAGUGGCGGACGGGUGAGUAACACGUGGGAACGUGCCUUUAGGUUCGGAAUAACUCAGGGAAAAUUGUGCUAAUACCGAAUGUGUCCUUCGGGGGAAAGAUUUAUCGCCUUUAGAGCGGCCCGCGUCUGAUUAGCUAGUUGGUGAGGUAAAGGCUCACCAAGGCGACGAUCAGUAGCUGGUCUGAGAGGAUGAUCAGCCACAUUGGGACUGAGACACGGCCCAAACUCCUACGGGAGGCAGCAGUGGGGAAUCUUGCGCAAUGGGCGAAAGCCUGACGCAGCCAUGCCGCGUGAAUGAUGAAGGUCUUAGGAUUGUAAAAUUCUUUCACCGGGGACGGUAAUGACGGUACCCGGAGAAGAAGCCCCGGCUAACUUCGUGCCAGCAGCCGCGGUAA